GGCAUAGCUCAGUGGAAGAGUGUCUGCUUUGCAUGCAGAAUGCCCUGGAUUCAAUCUAUGGCACCCCUAGGUAUGACCA
Podarcis lilfordi (Lilford's wall lizard) is the source of this 79-nucleotide non-coding RNA. The record is from the annotation of a GenBank genome assembly. Lineage: Eukaryota; Metazoa; Chordata; Lepidosauria; Squamata; Lacertidae.